Molecule: long non-coding RNA, 614 nt
Filed under: Triticum aestivum (bread wheat)
Lineage: Eukaryota; Viridiplantae; Streptophyta; Magnoliopsida; Poales; Poaceae
Description: long non-coding RNA (TAES_LNC001324)
Source: RNAcentral
GGAAAAAUUGUUCCUGACUGGUGCAUUUUUAUUUCAGCAAACAUAGAUGUUCAAAUCGAAAAGUCUGAUACACACAUAUAUAGAUACAAUGGGUCGCGCACGUGCAUAGAUGAAUCACCCUACUUUACGAUGACCACCUGGCCUUUCCUUACGACCGGAAGGGGACAAGCGAUUAGGUGGCCGGGUCACACGAAGACCGCGGCCGUACUCCAAUUCGGCUUCAUGUGUCUGCGAGUCCUGCGUAGGUGGUGGAGUCGCGAAUCCUUGUUGCGAACCUGAAGCGUAAUUGUACGCGUAUGGUUGUGACUCCGGGGGGAUAAAAGAUGGGCCAAUAACAUCCCCUCCGAAGAACUCUGUAACUAAUGAUGUAACCGUGUCGCCAAGAUCAUGUGAUGCUCCCCGGAGGCCUGUGUUGACGCCAUGAUCAUGUGAUGCUCCCCGGAGGCCUGUGUUGACGCCGCGUUGGGUGUUCUCAUCGCCCCAAUUAACAUCAGGUGUGUCCUGCACAUAGAAACAUUUUAAACAAAUUGUUAGAGGAUAAUAUAUGAUAUCAUUGUAAAUGCAUUGAAAUGUAAACAUGACUACCUGAGCAUAUCCCUCUCCUAUAAUGUCUG